RNAcentral lists this ribosomal RNA (253 nucleotides) under uncultured bacterium. RNAcentral's name for it is "partial 16S ribosomal RNA". It matches the Rfam family "Bacterial small subunit ribosomal RNA", at positions 524 to 776 of the family's 1533-position model. The record is from RNAcentral.
UACAGAGGUCCCAAGCGUUGUUCGGAUUCACUGGGCGUAAAGGGUGCGCAGGUGGUCGGGUAAGUCUGAUGUGAAAUCCCGCAGCUUAACUGCGGAAUGGCAUUGGAUCCUAUUCGGCUAGAGGGUUGGAGGGGGGACUGGAAUUCUCGGUGUAGCAGUGAAAUGCGUAGAUAUCGAGAGGAACACCAGUGGCGAAGGCGGCCAUCUGGGACAACACUGACGCUGAAGCACGAAAGCGUGGGGAGCAAACAGG